GAUGAACGCUGGCGGCGUGCUUAACACAUGCAAGUCGAACGGGAAACCUUUUAUUGAAGCUUCGGCAGAUUUAGCUGGUUUCUAGUGGCGGACGGGUGGGUAACGCGUGGGUAACCUGCCUUAUACAGGGGGAUAACAGUCAGAAAUGGCUGCUAAUACCGCAUAAGCGCACAGAGCUGCAUGGCUCAGUGUGAAAAACUCCGGUGGUAUAAGAUGGACCCGCGUUGGAUUAGCUGGUUGGGGGGGUGACGGCCCACCAAGGCGACGAUCAAUAGCCGGGCUGGGAGGGUGAACGGCCACAGUGGGACUGAGCCACGGCCCAGACUCCUAGGGGAGGCAGCAGUGGGGAAUAUUGCACAAUGGAGGAAACCCUGAUGCAGCGACGCCGCGUGAAGGAAGAAGUAUCUCGGUAUGUAAACUUCUAUCAGCAGGGAAGAUAAUGACGGUACCUGACUAAGAAGCCCCGGCUAACUACGUG
This 478-nucleotide ribosomal RNA is filed under the name uncultured bacterium. RNAcentral's name for it is "partial 16S ribosomal RNA". It matches the Rfam family "Bacterial small subunit ribosomal RNA", at positions 28 to 507 of the family's 1533-position model. The record is from RNAcentral.